Molecule: ribosomal RNA, 492 nt
Filed under: uncultured bacterium
Lineage: Bacteria
Description: partial 16S ribosomal RNA
Rfam family: Bacterial small subunit ribosomal RNA
Source: RNAcentral
AGUGAACGCUGGCGGUAGGCCUAACACAUGCAAGUCGAACGGCAGCACAGUAAGAGCUUGCUCUUACGGGUGGCGAGUGGCGGACGGGUGAGGAAUACAUCGGAAUCUACUUUUUCGUGGGGGAUAACGUAGGGAAACUUACGCUAAUACCGCAUACGACCUACGGGUGAAAGCAGGUGAUCUUCUGACCUUGCGCGAUUGAAUGAGCCGAUGUCGGAUUAGCUAGUUGGCGGGGUAAAGGCCCACCAAGGCGACGAUCCGUAGCUGGUCUGAGAGGAUGAUCAGCCACACUGGAACUGAGACACGGUCCAGACUCCUACGGGAGGCAGCAGUGGGGAAUAUUGGACAAUGGGCGCAAGCCUGAUCCAGCCAUACCGCGUGGGUGAAGAAGGCCUUCGGGUUGUAAAGCCCUUUUGUUGGGAAAGAAAAGCAGCAGGUUAAUACCCCGCUGUUCUGACGGUACCCAAAGAAUAAGCACCGGCUAACUUCGUG